RNAcentral lists this ribosomal RNA (117 nucleotides) under Nocardioides sp. Lineage: Bacteria; Bacillati; Actinomycetota; Actinomycetes; Propionibacteriales; Nocardioidaceae. The record is from RNAcentral.
UACGGCGGCCAUAGCGAAAGGGAAACACCCGGUCCCAUACCGAACCCGGAAGUUAAGCCUUCCAGCGCCGAUGGUACUGCAAUCGAGAGGUUGUGGGAGAGUAGGACGCCGCCGGAC